This 268-nucleotide ribosomal RNA is filed under the name Chromobacterium aquaticum. Its description in RNAcentral is "partial 16S ribosomal RNA". It matches the Rfam family "Bacterial small subunit ribosomal RNA", at positions 1103 to 1372 of the family's 1533-position model. The record is from RNAcentral. Lineage: Bacteria; Pseudomonadati; Pseudomonadota; Betaproteobacteria; Neisseriales; Chromobacteriaceae.
CCUUGCCAUUAGUUGCCAUCAUUAAGUUGGGCACUCUAAUGGGACUGCCGGUGACAAACCGGAGGAAGGUGGGGAUGACGUCAAGUCCUCAUGGGCCUUAUGACCAGGGCUUCACACGUCAUACAAUGGUCGGUACAGAUGGUCGCGAAACCGCGAGGUGGAGCCAAUCUCAUAAAACCGAUCGUAGUCCGGAUCGCACUCUGCAACUCGAGUGCGUGAAGUCUGAAUCGCUAGUAAUCGCAGAUCAGCAUGCUGCGGUGAAUACGUU